ACGCUCGACACCUACGGGGGGCAGCAGUUGGGAAUAUUGGACAAUGGAGGAAACUCUGAUCCAGUGACGCCGCGUGAAGGAAGAAGGUCUUCGGAUUGUAAACUUAUUUUGUCAGGGAAGAAAAAAUGACUGUACCUGAAGAAAAAGCACCGGCUAACUACGCGCCAGCAGCCGCGGUAAUCUGAGCGGGCUGGCAAGGC
This 200-nucleotide ribosomal RNA is filed under the name uncultured bacterium. RNAcentral describes it as "partial 16S ribosomal RNA". It matches the Rfam family "Bacterial small subunit ribosomal RNA", at positions 328 to 539 of the family's 1533-position model. The record is from RNAcentral.